UGGCGCACGGGUGCGUAACGCGUGGGAAUCUGCCCUUAGGUUCGGAAUAACUCAGGGAAACUUGAGCUAAUACCGGAUGAUGUCUUCGGACCAAAGAUUUAUCGCCUAAGGAUGAGCCCGCGUAAGAUUAGCUAGUUGGUGAGGUAAAGGCUCACCAAGGCUACGAUCUUUAGCUGGUCUGAGAGGAUGAUCAGCCACACUGGGACUGAGACACGGCCCAGACUCCUACGGGAGGCAGCAGUGGGGAAUAUUGGACAAUGGGCGAAAGCCUGAUCCAGCAAUGCCGCGUGAGUGAUGAAGGCCUUAGGGUUGUAAAGCUCUUUUACCCGGGAUGAUAAUGACAGUACCGGGAGAAUAAGCUCCGGCUAACUCCGUGCCAGCAGCCGCGGUAAUACGGAGGGAGCUAGCGUUGUUCGGAAUUACUGGGCGUAAAGCGCACGUAGGCGGCUUUGUAAGUUAGAGGUGAAAGCCCGGGGCUCAACUCCGGAACUGCCUUUAAGAC
RNAcentral lists this ribosomal RNA (502 nucleotides) under uncultured Sphingomonadaceae bacterium. RNAcentral describes it as "bacterial SSU rRNA". It matches the Rfam family "Bacterial small subunit ribosomal RNA", at positions 96 to 633 of the family's 1533-position model. The record is from RNAcentral. Lineage: Bacteria; Pseudomonadati; Pseudomonadota; Alphaproteobacteria; Sphingomonadales; Sphingomonadaceae.